GCUUCAUUUCCAGGGGUUACCUUCUUAGAGCUUUCAUCAUCACAUGUGGAGACCAAAUUUCCCAUUUCUGUUCCCUUAGAAUACUGAUCAUUGUCACCUUUGGGCGCCAAGUUUCCACAGUACUCAUUAACCUUGCCUUCAGAGGCUACUUUCUUCAGAACCUGCUUAAUUUCACCCUUCCCUUCAGGGUUUUCAUUUGACU
This 202-nucleotide unclassified non-coding RNA is filed under the name Hevea brasiliensis (rubber tree). Lineage: Eukaryota; Viridiplantae; Streptophyta; Magnoliopsida; Malpighiales; Euphorbiaceae. The record is from RNAcentral.